UGCCGAAGACAGGAAUCGAACCGGUGUCGCACGGCAGCCACGUGAAGAACUGACCACUAUGCUACUUGAGC
This 71-nucleotide transfer RNA is filed under the name Necator americanus (New World hookworm). Its description in RNAcentral is "tRNA-Ser". Lineage: Eukaryota; Metazoa; Nematoda; Chromadorea; Rhabditida; Ancylostomatidae. The record is from RNAcentral.